GACGAACGCUGGCGGCGUGCUUAACACAUGCAAGUCGAACGAAGUGGCGAACGGGUGAGUAACGCGUAAUCAACCUGCCCUUCAGAGGGGGACAACAGUUGGAAACGACUGCUAAUACCGCAUAUAGGAUGAGACCAAGUGGGAUUAGGUAGUUGGUGAGGUAAAGGCUCACCAAGCCGACGAUCUCUAGCUGGUCUGAGAGGAUGACCAGCCACAUUGGGACUGGGACACGGCCCAGACUCCUACGGGAGGCAGCAGUGGGGAAUCUUCCGCAAUGGACGAAAGUCUGACGGAGCAACGCCGCGUGAGUGAUGACGGCCUUCGGGUUGUAAAGCUCUGUUAAUCGGGACGCGGUACCGGAAUAGAAAGCCACGGCUAACUACGUGCCAGCCGCCGCGGUAAUAC
This 405-nucleotide ribosomal RNA is filed under the name uncultured bacterium. RNAcentral's name for it is "partial 16S ribosomal RNA". It matches the Rfam family "Bacterial small subunit ribosomal RNA", at positions 28 to 526 of the family's 1533-position model. The record is from RNAcentral.